This 253-nucleotide ribosomal RNA is filed under the name uncultured bacterium. RNAcentral's name for it is "partial 16S ribosomal RNA". It matches the Rfam family "Bacterial small subunit ribosomal RNA", at positions 524 to 776 of the family's 1533-position model. The record is from RNAcentral.
UACGUAGGCAGCAAGCGUUAAUCGGAAUUACUGGGCGUAAAGCGUGCGCAGGCGGCUUGCCAAGUCAGAUGUGAAAGCCCCGGGCUCAACCCGGGAACUGCGUUUGAAACUGGCAGGCUAGAGUUUGGCAGAGGGGGGUGGAAUUCCACGUGUAGCAGUGAAAUGCGUAGAGAUGUGGAGGAACACCGAUGGCGAAGGCAGCCCCCUGGGCCAAAACUGACGCUCAGGCACGAAAGCGUGGGGAGCAAACAGG